This 253-nucleotide ribosomal RNA is filed under the name uncultured bacterium. RNAcentral describes it as "partial 16S ribosomal RNA". It matches the Rfam family "Bacterial small subunit ribosomal RNA", at positions 524 to 776 of the family's 1533-position model. The record is from RNAcentral.
UACGUAGGGGGCAAGCGUUGUCCGGAAUCAUUGGGCGUAAAGAGCGUGUAGGCGGCCCGGUAAGUCCGCUGUGAAAGUCGGGGGCUCAACCCUCGAAUGCCGGUGGAUACUGUCGGGCUAUAGUGCGGAAGAGGCGAGUGGAAUUCCUGGUGUAGCGGUGAAAUGCGCAGAUAUCAGGAGGAACACCAAUUGCGAAGGCAGCUCGCUGGGACGUAACUGACGCUGAGACGCGAAAGCGUGGGGAGCAAACAGG